UCAUGCACCACUACCAGUUGAAGCUGCCAGCAUGAUCUUAACUUCCCUCACUUGCUGUGGAAAGAUCAGAUCAUGUGGCAGUUUCACCUAGUAGUUGUUGGCCGCAUGA
This 109-nucleotide microRNA precursor is filed under the name Glycine max (soybean). RNAcentral describes it as "miR167f stem-loop (gma-MIR167f)". Its record names the gene gma-MIR167f. The stretch from base 6 to 98 matches the Rfam family "MIR167 microRNA precursor family". Lineage: Eukaryota; Viridiplantae; Streptophyta; Magnoliopsida; Fabales; Fabaceae. The record is from miRBase by way of RNAcentral.